AUUGAACGCUGGCGGCAUGCCUUACACAUGCAAGUCGAACGGCAGCACGGGGGCAGCCCUGGUGGCGAGUGGCGAACGGGUGAGUAAUGCAUCGGAACGUGCCCAGUAGUGGGGGAUAACUAGUCGAAAGAUUAGCUAAUACCGCAUACGACCUAUGGGUGAAAGCGGGGGAUUCGCAAGAACCUCGCGCUAUUGGAGCGGCCGAUGUCUGAUUAGCAGUUGGUGGGGUAAAAGCCCACCAAGGCUUCGAUCAGUAGCUGGUCUGAGAGGACGACCAGCCACACUGGGACUGAGACACGGCCCAGACUCCUACGGGAGGCAGCAGUGGGGAAUUUUGGACAAUGGGCGCAAGCCUGAUCCAGCCAUGCCGCGUGCGGGAAGAAGGCCU
Molecule: ribosomal RNA, 388 nt
Filed under: uncultured bacterium
Lineage: Bacteria
Description: bacterial SSU rRNA
Rfam family: Bacterial small subunit ribosomal RNA
Source: RNAcentral